Molecule: long non-coding RNA, 689 nt
Filed under: Pseudonaja textilis
Lineage: Eukaryota; Metazoa; Chordata; Lepidosauria; Squamata; Elapidae
Description: lncRNA (ENSPTXG00000008612.1)
Source: RNAcentral
AUGCACACCCGAGAUAAAACACAACCCUGAUGCGAUAAUUUUUACUUGUUAUUGGUAAUGUGGCAGCUAAAUUAAAGUCUUGGGAAUUGGUAAUUAGCCAUCAAGAGGUGUCCAGGUGGUUAUAUUUUGAAGUUUAAUCUUUAAAAAGUGUUUUUGAUUUUUUUUUUUCAGGAUCUUUAUGUUGAUCGACCUUUGCCAUACUUAAUUGGCUCCCAACUGUUUAUGGAACAAGAUGAUGUUGGGCUUGCCGAUCCUUCCAGUGAAGAAGGUUCAGUGGAUGGUGAUCACGGAAGCCUGAUAGACAGUGAAGGAAAAGAAGAAGAGGAACUGGAAGAAUUUGGGACUAUAAGUGAUGAAGAUCAGAAACAGAGAACAGCACUAAUGAGUGAUGAAGAUGAAGAUCUUUUUGGUGACUAUGAAAAGGGGGAAGAGGAGGACGGUGACCUAGAAGAAAAUACAACAUUGAAAAGACCUACAUCGUUUACUGAUGAGCUUACAGCCCGAAUCAAAAGGGAAGAGCUAAGUAAAGAACAGAAAGAACAAUUAUGUAAGCAAUUCCACACCUUUUUUUUCUUUUGCUGCAUAAAGUAUGAUAGAAAAAGAUUUUCUAAUAUUUUAAAAUAUUUUUUAUUUUCAGUAAACUAUUAUGCUACAACCUACCUUUUAAUAUCUUUUAAUUAAUGCACAAA